GCUUAUUUUGCGCAGCUUAGGUGGGAGGCUAUGAACCUUUUCUUCUGGGAAGAGGGGAGCCGUCAGUGAGAUACCACUCUUGGUAAGCUAGAGCGCUCAGUCUUAACCGUCAUCCGGUAAGACGACAGUUUCAGGCGGGCAGUUUGACUGGGGCAGUCACCUCCCAAAAGGUAAUGGAGGUGUGCAAAGGUUCCCUCAGGCUGGACGGAAAUCAGCCAUAGAGUGUAAAAGCAAAAGGGAGCUUGACUGCGAGACUGACAUGUCAAGCAGAGACGAAAGUCGGCUUUAGUGAUCCGACGGUGCUGUGUGGAAAGGCCGUCGCUCAACGGAUAAAAGUUACUCUAGGGAUAAC
RNAcentral lists this ribosomal RNA (352 nucleotides) under uncultured eukaryote. Its description in RNAcentral is "LSU rRNA". It matches the Rfam family "Bacterial large subunit ribosomal RNA", at positions 2127 to 2478 of the family's 2925-position model. The record is from RNAcentral.